Molecule: long non-coding RNA, 4124 nt
Filed under: Nicotiana benthamiana
Lineage: Eukaryota; Viridiplantae; Streptophyta; Magnoliopsida; Solanales; Solanaceae
Description: long non-coding RNA (NBEN_LNC031558)
Source: RNAcentral
CAGAAGACUUAACAAAUUUAUAUUAGAUUUGAUACUGAAAUUCCAACAUAAAACACUACCCAAGAAUUGGUGUUACAAUACUCACGAACUUCUAAGAAUAAUACACAUAACCGUCUUAAAGAAAUAUAAUAUUAUUUUUCUCGAAUAUAUGAGAUAACAGACUGAAAGUAAGGAUAGAGGAGACGCUGUGUCCUGCGGACGCCUGCAAGGGUACCUCGGUGUCUCGAUGAUCAAAAGAUAACACUCCCACUACUGUUGUUGCUGCUGUCCAAAACCUGAAUCUGUGCAAAAAGAGCACAGACUGUAGAAUCAGCACAACCGACCCCAUGUGCUGGUAAGUGCCGGGCCUAUCCCAGCGAAGUAGUGACAAGGCUAGGACCAGACACUCACAUAAACCUGUACAGUCAAACAAAUAUAUACAACAUAAAUAACAGGAAGCAACACUAAAUAUUUGGAAAGGGAGAACAUGCUCUGGGAUAGCAACAAAGUAUAAUAACAAGUGCAGAAUAAAUGAAUUUCAUUUAAUGAGGACGGGUAAAUCAAAAUCUGCACUGCAUCACCCAUCGUGCUUUUACUCUCGUUCUCACCAAAUAAUCAAUUUAGAUGUACGGCAUCACCCAUCAUACUUUUACUCUCGUUCUCACCAAAUAAUCAACUAAGAUGUACGGCAUCACCCAUCUUACGUUUACUCUCACACUCUCAUAUCGAGGCACGGAAAGACUCAUCGUGCAUAAUCACUCAUCUUUGUCACCGACAUCUAUGGCCAAUAACAAUAAUCAUUGUAAUAUAUAUAUACAUAUAUAUAAAACAAGGCACGGAAAGACCCGUCGUGCAUAAGCACUCUUCCUCGUCACCGGCAACUAUGACCAAUAACAACAAUCAUUGUAAUAUAUUACCGGCAAAGAACCAAUAAUAAUUAAUCAACUAUAUAAAUAUUACCAGUAUAAAAUCAAUAAUUCUUUAAAUCAACAAUAUAAAUAUUAUCGGUAUGAAACCAAUAAUCCUUUAAAUCAACAAUAUAAAUAUUACCGGUAUGAAACCAGUAAUCCUUUAAAUCAACAAUAUAAAUAUUACCGGUAUGAAACCAAUAAUAAUAAUUCCUUUCAUAUAAUCACAUAAAAUUAUUAAAGUUUUAUUACCGGUACGAAACCAAUAAUAAUAAUUCCUUUCAUAUAAUCACAUAAAUUAUUAAAGUUUAAUCAAUUUAAGAAUCACGAUCAUGCUCGACCCUCAACAUAUAGAUACUCGUCACCAUACCUAUACUUCUGACUCCACUCUUAACAAUUAGCAUAUAGACUAAACUCAUAUUCCCUCAAGCUAGGAUAGACCAAACACUUAACUCGAAGGUUUAUGGUAACUCAAUCCUUAAGUAAUGCCCUUUCCUUCGAAUUUGACUCCAAUUCAAUUGUAUCUAUUACACAAUUGAUUUAAUAUCAUUAAUACUACUCAACAAAAUAAUCCAAAUGACUAAAUAUACAUUUCACAAUAUUCUGCCCGGAAUAGUGAAACGAUCCCGGGCCCACGUGGUCAAAACAAGAGGUUCGAACUAAUUUCCGACAACCCAUUCACCCACGAGUUCAACCAUACCAAAAUUACUAAAUUUCGAUAACAUUUCGACCCUCAAAUCUAUUCGAGAGGGUUUCUAAGCUUUUUCCCCCUAAAUUCACGGAUUUAAUGCCAAAACUUGCAAUAGAUUCGAGUAAUAUAACCAAAAUUAAGUUAAGAACACAUACUCCAUUGUUCUCUCCAAAAAUCUCCCGAAGAAUCGCCUUAUCCGAGCUCCAAAUGGGUAAAAAUUAAAAAUGGGAGAAAGUCCCAUUUUCAGAAACAAAACAUUCUGCCAAAAAUUUCCGAGGUUACUGUUGAUCCAGUGUUACUGUUCAGAGGUAGUGUACACGAGAAACUGCACACGGUACAUGUACAUGUGGGGGUACUGUUCACAGUGCACUAUUUCUGCAAUUUUUUAAAAAUUUUCCUAAGUCUGAGAUCACUCGAAAACACUCCCAAGCCUUCGGGGCUCCAAACCAAAUAUGCACACUGACUCAAAAACAUCUACGAACUUGCUCGAGCGAUCAAAUCGCCAAAAUAACAUCAAAAUCAAUGAAUUUAGCCUUAAAUCCCAAGAAAUUUUCAAUAACCUUUAAAUUUUCCAAUUUAAAGUUGAAACACGUCAAACGACGUCCGUUUUCAACCAAACUUUACAGAAAGGGCAAAAACAACAUAUAUGACAUGUACCGGGCAUCGGAACAAAAAUACGAUCCCAAUACUAUUACUUUCUGAUCAAAUUUCAUUUUCAUUUCCUUAAGCAUUCUUAGAAAACAAAUUUCAUGAAAAAAUUCUUGUCUCGGGCCUGGGACCUCGAAAUUCGAUUCGGGGCAUACGCCCAAGUCCCAUAUUUUUCUACGGACCUUCUGAGACCGUCAAAUCACGGGUCCGGGUCUGUUUACCAAAAAUAUUGACCAAAGUCAACUUUAUCAAUAUUAAUAUAAAAAUUCUUCAAAUUUUUCACAUAAUUCAUAUAUAUAUCAACAUAAAAAAUUUUCGUCUUCGCGUCCGGACUGCGCACGCAAAUCGAAACUAAUAGUGAGGUUUUUAAGACCUCUGAUGCUCGAAAUGACUAAUAAAAUAAGUGAUGACCCUUUGGGUCGUCACAUACUCCUUUAGUCGUCCGUGAGUAGUGACACCAGAUAAUGGGUAGAGACAGGUUGUUAGUUUCCGCAUUUUUUGUUUUCGAUAUUGUUGUUAAAAAAAACUUCCGCAUGUUUUAAUUAAAUAUUUUAGUAUUUAACUUGUUUUAGAUUUAAGUUUUGUGAAAAUGAUUAUAAAGGUUGGCUUGCCUAGCUUCGACAGUAGGCGCCAUCACGACUCCCGAUGGUGGAAAAAAUCCGAGUCGUGACAGGAACAUCUUAGUUUACUUAUUCUUUGAUCUGCUAUAUACGAGGUCUUUACUUAGGAAAAUGUCUUGCGAAUUAAUUGGAGAAAAACUAGAUGCAACUUCUAUAUGUUGUAUCCCAAUUAUAUGAGCUAGCUAAGUCACUAAUUUAUUGACAUUAACUUUCUGGCGAAACUUUUGCUUUAAGCAACCUAGAUGUCCAGUAGAACUUGGUUCUUAAAUACUUAUCUCUUAAAAAGUGCUGUCUAAAAAUUGAGUUACUGAACAAAGUCAGAAUGGAAUUUAGCACAUGGCAUAAGUAGCAUAAGUACUUUAUGGAUUCUGGUUCUGCAAUGUUUUUUAAAACCACUAGAAUCAAUUUAUGCAAACUGCUUUUCAAAAGAUAGAUAGGCAUAACAAAAUUGUGUUGAGGUUAAGGAGCACAUUAUUGAUAACUUUUCACAAGUGAUGUUGUUAGUCGUGCAUUUCAGUGUUACUCAUUAAUGAAUCUCAAACUCAUACUAAUUUAGUAUGACAAACUAUCUUCACAUCGCAUUUGUAUAUUUUUUAAAGGAAAAGAAGAAUCCAUAUCUGAAACCAAAGUUACCUCGUGUUUAGCAAGAACUUGACAAUAUUGGAUAUCAUUUACAUUGGAACUGACCUAAAACAAGGCAAUCAAGCAUGUGAAUUUCUUUGGGAGGAAAAACUUGAUAAUAUUCAUCACUCAUGGAAACCUAAAGGAUAUUGACCUAAUUCCUUAUUCAAAAAUAAAAUUAAGUUGGAUUUAAAAGCAAAAAAUAAAUAAAGAAACAAACUUACCUUCCAUUGAGCACUCCAAACUAGUAUCUUGCAGAGAUAUGAAGUACUUAACAAAAGUAUCCAAAAAAUCUCAAGAAAUUAAAGUACCAAUUUUGCAGGAAAAGAACUUUAAAAUCGUAAGCAUAAGGCGUUAGCGGCGGAGAAGAAGCUCAUUGCGGGAAACGCACCAGCAGAGGACGAAUCGCCAGCGAGAAAGUCACUUUAACACACUGACAAACUCGAUUAAAAAUCUUAAAAUUUAUAGUUAUUACCCUAGUUGAGAAGAGAAAACAAAUGGGAAAUCAAGCAGUAAAUUUAACAAUCGAAAUAUAGACUCACAGUUUAAGGAAUCUGAUAAACUUGUCCUGCUUGGGUUCCGUCUAACUGAUAAUGGUGUAGGGUUUUCCGCUUUCUUUGCGUGGGUCGACGGGCGGCGGCAGGGGACAAAGUAAAG